RNAcentral lists this ribosomal RNA (497 nucleotides) under uncultured bacterium. RNAcentral describes it as "partial 16S ribosomal RNA". It matches the Rfam family "Bacterial small subunit ribosomal RNA", at positions 28 to 507 of the family's 1533-position model. The record is from RNAcentral.
GAUGAACGCUGGCGGCGUGCCUAAUACAUGCAAGUCGAGCGAACAGACGAGGAGCUUGCUCCUCUGACGUUAGCGGCGGACGGGUGAGUAACACGUGGAUAACCUACCUAUAAGACUGGGAUAACUUCGGGAAACCGGAGCUAAUACCGGAUAAUAUAUUGAACCGCAUGGUUCAAUAGUGAAAGACGGUUUUGCUGUCACUUAUAGAUGGAUCCGCGCCGCAUUAGCUAGUUGGUAAGGUAACGGCUUACCAAGGCAACGAUGCGUAGCCGACCUGAGAGGGUGAUCAGCCACACUGGAACUGAGACACGGUCCAGACUCCUACGGGAGGCAGCAGUAGGGAAUCUUCCGCAAUGGGCGAAAGCCUGACGGAGCAACGCCGCGUGAGUGAUGAAGGUCUUCGGAUCGUAAAACUCUGUUAUUAGGGAAGAACAAAUGUGUAAGUAACUAUGCACGUCUUGACGGUACCUAAUCAGAAAGCCACGGCUAACUACAUG